Molecule: ribosomal RNA, 370 nt
Filed under: uncultured Glomeromycotina
Lineage: Eukaryota; Fungi; Glomeromycota
Description: LSU rRNA
Source: RNAcentral
UUGAAAGGGAAACGAUUGAAGUCAGUCAUGCUAGUGAAAAAUCAGUUUGACGGGUUUUGAGUUCUUGAGUAGAGGCAGGGUCAAACCGUUUCUCUUUUUGGACUCUUGAUAUGUUAGAUAUACUUNNUUUUUGGCAGGUCAACGUCGGUUUCGGGGGUUGUAAAAUACUUGGGGGAAAGUAGCUCUGCUUCGGGAGAGUGUUAUAGACCCUGGGAGAUGCAGCCUGUGGGAUCGAGGAUUGCAGCAAAUGCCUUUUGGCUUGUCGCCUGUUCCUGGGUGUUACCUGUCUUGUGACAACAUUCUUGCCACCGGGGAGUACUAAUGCCUACUGUUUAGAGCGAUCGAAAAUUUCGUUAAGGAUGUUGACGUA